AACGAACGCUGGCGGCAUGCCUAACACAUGCAAGUCGAACGAGACCUUCGGGUCUAGUGGCGCACGGGUGCGUAACGCGUGGGAACCUGCCCUUAGGUUCGGAAUAACUCCCCGAAAGGGGUGCUAAUACCGGAUAAUGUCUUCGGACCAAAGAUUUAUCGCCUUUGGAUGGGCCCGCGUUGGAUUAGCUAGUUGGUAGGGUAAAAGCCUACCAAGGCGACGAUCCAUAGCUGGUCUGAGAGGAUGGUCAGCCACACUGGGACUGAGACACGGCCCAGACUCCUACGGGAGGCAGCAGUGGGGAAUAUUGGAAAAUGGGCGAAAGCCUGAUCCAGCAAUGCCGCGUGAGUGAUGAAGGCCUUAGGGUUGUAAAGCUCUUUUACCCGGGAUGAUAAUGACAGUACCGAGAGAAUAAGCUCCGGCUAACUCCGUG
RNAcentral lists this ribosomal RNA (433 nucleotides) under uncultured bacterium. Its description in RNAcentral is "partial 16S ribosomal RNA". It matches the Rfam family "Bacterial small subunit ribosomal RNA", at positions 29 to 507 of the family's 1533-position model. The record is from RNAcentral.